RNAcentral lists this ribosomal RNA (301 nucleotides) under uncultured bacterium. RNAcentral describes it as "partial 16S ribosomal RNA". It matches the Rfam family "Bacterial small subunit ribosomal RNA", at positions 509 to 809 of the family's 1533-position model. The record is from RNAcentral.
CAGCAGCCGCGGGAAUACGUAGGGUGCAAGCGUUAAUCGGAAUUACUGGGCGUAAAGCGUGCGCAGGCGGUUUUGUAAGACAGAGGUGAAAUCCCCGGGCUCAACCUGGGAACUGCCUUUGUGACUGCAAGGCUAGAGUACGGCAGAGGGGGAUGGAAUUCCGCGUGUAGCAGUGAAAUGCGUAGAUAUGCGGAGGAACACCGAUGGCGAAGGCAAUCCCCUGGGCCUGUACUGACGCUCAUGCACGAAAGCGUGGGGAGCAAACAGGAUCAGAUACCCCAGUAGUCCCUGUCUCUUAUAA